RNAcentral lists this ribosomal RNA (200 nucleotides) under uncultured Glomus. Its description in RNAcentral is "partial small subunit ribosomal RNA". It matches the Rfam family "Eukaryotic small subunit ribosomal RNA", at positions 591 to 796 of the family's 1831-position model. The record is from RNAcentral. Lineage: Eukaryota; Fungi; Glomeromycota; Glomeromycetes; Glomerales; Glomeraceae.
CCAAUAGCGUAUAUUAAAGUUGUUGCAGUUAAAAAGCUCGUAGUUGAAUUUCGGGAUCAAUUAAUUGGUCGUGCCUCUGGUACGUACUGAUUUUAUUGGUUUCUCCCUUCUGAAGAACCAUGAUGUCAUUAAUUUGGUGUCGUGGAGAAUCAGGACUGUUACUUUGAAAAAAUUAGAGUGUUUAAAGCAAGCUAACGCUU